Molecule: non-coding RNA, 76 nt
Organism: Elgaria multicarinata webbii
Lineage: Eukaryota; Metazoa; Chordata; Lepidosauria; Squamata; Anguidae
Source: the annotation of a RefSeq genome assembly
GGGAGGGACUCUGGCUCAGUGGUAGAGCACCUGCCUGGCAUGCAGAAGAUCCCAAGUUCAAUUCCUGGCUUUUCCA